CGGAACUCCACCUCGGGUUUUUCCAGCGGGUAGGGGCGGGGAAGUCGGCCUGAGCUUCCAGUUUUCCCUCUGAAGCUGGACGGCAGUUUUAGUUUCAAUUACUUCUGUACAAGGUUGAGGGAGGAGUGACCGGCUUCCCGCCGCCACGAGUAUCCUCCAGUGCCCAGGGGUAAACGGCCUAACUGAGAACGUUGUCAGCGGCACACAACCAUUCUUGUAACUUGGAGCGUCUGACGUUCUGGGUGGGAAAGAGCGAUCGAUACCAGACCGAGGGACCUGUGCUGACCCUGAAUAUUAAGUGAAGACAAAAUAAAAUCUCUACUCAGAAUUCACAGUUAUGAAGCAGGAACAAGGCUGGAGACUAAGAGAUGAGUAAUUUGCAGCCCCACCUCUAGAAGAAGUCAAAGUACAAGAAGGGAACAGACAAGUAAAAAUUAAAGUACACCAUGAAGAGGGAUUUGCACAGGGCUUGAGAAGCUGAGGACGACCCACAGUGUAUUCAGCUGACGGACCUGGGAAAGAUUCAAAGAAGAAAGUUCAGGAGACACUUUCCAGGGUGGAAAAGGAGGUGAAAGGCAAUUCUGGAGAGAAAAACAUGUGCAGUGACACAGAGGCUUGAAGGAACUGUGGGAGUUUCAGGAAUGAGUUACAGCUGUGGCUGAGAUACAGGGUGUGUGCAGGGGAAGGGUCAAUGUGAGUGACUGUGUGCUAAGUUUGGACUUUAUCCUGCAGUUCCAGAACCCAGGUCCUCCAACUAGGACCAGACUGACAGUAAAGAACCAUCUGGAGAACUUGUUAAAAGUACAGAAUGCCCAGGCCCCACUUCUAGAAAUAUUGGCUCAGGAGGAAUCUGUUUUUUUUUAAAAGUUCCCCAUGUGAUUCUGGAGCACAUCCAACUUUGAAAACCACUGCAUGUAGGCACUGGGGAUCCAUCAGAGGGUACUGGGAAAGAGAAUGACUUGCUUUGGAAAGAGCUCUUUUGCCAGUGGAGAGUUGCAGUAGAGCCAGUCAAAACAAGGUAUGGAGAGAUGUGAUGGAGACUAUUGGGAUGGAGCAAUUAAGAAAAGGGAGCACCUGAAUAUCAGAGGUAGCAGAGAAAGCAAAUACUCAGAGUUCAAUAAAUGAAAUCUGCAAGACAGGUGAUCUGUUUGAUGUGGGAAGUGUGGCACUCGUAGAUUCUAGUUUGUAAGGGGUACCCUUGAGAACUGGGAGUGAGAGGAAGGUGGGAAGUGUGGCUGUGUGUACAGCAGUGUGAUGUUAGCUCAGGGUGGGAGACCAGCUGGAGCUGGCUUGGGCUGGAGGACAAGGCUUGGGACUAGGCUACCCAAGGUCCAGAGGCUCAGAUCUGUGAAUCCUGAGUUUGAAAACUUGCUGGUGACUCCUUGCCUGGGGCCAUCUCCCUUCUUUGUGCCACAUAUUGUCCCUGCCAGUAGUUAACCCUCAUAGCUCCCCAAAGCAGGAAAUUAUAUGAGUCCAUGUUCUCAGAGCCUUACUUGGUGCCUGUACAUAUUUGAUGCUCACAGUUCGAAGUGAGUGAAUUUUAUUAAUU
Molecule: non-coding RNA, 1549 nt
Organism: Manis javanica (Malayan pangolin)
Lineage: Eukaryota; Metazoa; Chordata; Mammalia; Pholidota; Manidae
Source: RefSeq, a predicted model, not a curated record